GGUAGCCGGCCUGAGAGGGCGACCGGCCACACUGGGACUGAGACACGGCCCAGACUCCUACGGGAGGCAGCAGUGGGGAAUAUUGCACAAUGGGCGAAAGCCUGAUGCAGCGACGCCGCGUGAGGGAUGACGGCCUUCGGGUUGUAAACCUCUUUCAGUAGGGAAGAAGCGCAAGUGACGGUACCUACAGAAGAAGCACCGGCUAACUACGUGCCAGCAGCCGCGGUAAUACGUAGGGUGCGAGCGUUGUCCGGAAUUAUUGGGCGUAAAGAGCUCGUAGGCGGCUUGUCACGUCGGAUGUGAAAGCCCGGGGCUUAACCCCGGGUCUGCAUUCGAUACGGGCAGGCUAGAGUUCGGUAGGGGAGAUCGGAAUUCCUGGUGUAGCGGUGAAAUGCGCAGAUAUCAGGAGGAACACCGGUGGCGAAGGCGGAUCUCUGGGCCGAUACUGACGCUGAGGAGCGAAAGCGUGGGGAGCGAACAGGAUUAGAUACCCUGGUAGUCCACGCCGUAAACGUUGGGAACUAGGUGUGGGCGACAUUCCACGUCGUCCGUGCCGCAGCUAACGCAUUAAGUUCCCCGCCUGGGGGAGUACGG
RNAcentral lists this ribosomal RNA (594 nucleotides) under Streptomyces sp. RNAcentral's name for it is "bacterial SSU rRNA". It matches the Rfam family "Bacterial small subunit ribosomal RNA", at positions 282 to 885 of the family's 1533-position model. The record is from RNAcentral. Lineage: Bacteria; Bacillati; Actinomycetota; Actinomycetes; Kitasatosporales; Streptomycetaceae.